RNAcentral lists this transfer RNA (72 nucleotides) under Salmonella enterica subsp. enterica serovar Weltevreden. Its description in RNAcentral is "tRNA-Thr". The stretch from base 11 to 69 matches the Rfam family "tRNA". From Rfam's summary of the family: Transfer RNA (tRNA) molecules are approximately 80 nucleotides in length. Their secondary structure includes four short double-helical elements and three loops (D, anti-codon, and T loops). The record is from RNAcentral. Lineage: Bacteria; Pseudomonadati; Pseudomonadota; Gammaproteobacteria; Enterobacterales; Enterobacteriaceae.
GCGGCAGNCAGUUGGUAGAGCGCACCCUUGGUAAGGGUGAGGUCCCCAGUUCGACUCUGGGUAUCAGCACCA